GUGCUUGCUUUGGCACCACAUGUACAAAAAUUAGAAUGAUACAGAGAAUAGUGUAGCCUUGCACUAGGAUGACAUGUAAAUUCAUGAAAUGCAAUUUU
Sarcophilus harrisii (Tasmanian devil) is the source of this 98-nucleotide small nuclear RNA. The record is from Ensembl. Lineage: Eukaryota; Metazoa; Chordata; Mammalia; Dasyuromorphia; Dasyuridae.